CUACGGGCGGCUGCAGUGAGGAAUAUUGCACAAUGGGGGAAACCCUGAUGCAGCAACGCCGCGUGGAGGAUGACGCAUUUCGGUGUGUAAACUCCUUUUAUAUGUCAAGAAAAUGACGGUAGCAUAUGAAUAAGCACCGGCUAACUCCGUGCCAGCAGCCGCGGUGAAUACGGAGGGUGCAAGCGUUACUCGGAAUCACUGGGCGUAAAGGACGCGUAGGCGGGUUGGUAAGUCAGGUGUGAAAUCCUACAGCUUAACUGUAGAACUGCACUUGAAACUACCAACCUAGAGUAUGGGAGGGGGAGAUGGAAUUAGUGGUGUAGGGGUAAAAUCCGUAGAUAUCACUAGGAAUACCGAAAGCGAAGGCGAUCUCCUGGAACAUAACUGACGCUAAGGCGUGAAAGCGUGGGGAGCAAACAGGAUUAGAUACCCCAGUAGUC
RNAcentral lists this ribosomal RNA (440 nucleotides) under uncultured bacterium. RNAcentral's name for it is "partial 16S ribosomal RNA". It matches the Rfam family "Bacterial small subunit ribosomal RNA", at positions 339 to 795 of the family's 1533-position model. The record is from RNAcentral.